This 396-nucleotide ribosomal RNA is filed under the name uncultured bacterium. RNAcentral describes it as "bacterial SSU rRNA". It matches the Rfam family "Bacterial small subunit ribosomal RNA", at positions 355 to 768 of the family's 1533-position model. The record is from RNAcentral.
UCGGGAAUUUUGGACAAUGGGGGAAACCCUGACCCAGCAACGCCGCGUGAAGGAUGAAGUAUUUCGGUAUGUAAACUUCGAAAGAAUAGGAAGAAUAAAUGACGGUACUAUUUAUAAGGUCCGGCUAACUACGUGCCAGCAGCCGCGGUAAUACGUAGGGACCAAGCGUUGUUCGGAUUUACUGGGCGUAAAGGGCGCGUAGGCGGCAUGACAAGUCACUUGUGAAAUCUCUGGGCUUAACCCAGAACGGCCAAGUGAUACUGUCGCGCUAGAGUGCAGAAGGGGCAAUCGGAAUUCUUGGUGUAGCGGUGAAAUGCGUAGAUAUCAAGAGGAACACCUGAGGUGAAGACGGGUUGCUGGGCUGACACUGACGCUGAGGCGCGAAAGCCAGGGGGA